AAAGUGCUGGGAUUACAGGUGUGAGCCACCUGGCCGGGCCCUCCACUUCCUUCUUGUACAUUGCUGAAUCCCUGUGUCAGCCCUAGAGGUCCAGUCUUUUGCCCUCUCCCAGCCUUAAUCUACAAUUCUGUAACCCACCCACCAUCAUUAAAAUGAGAUUCUUCUUUGUCGCUUCCCUUGGCUAAAAUGGAUUAUUCUUUAACCUCUCCACCAAUACAACCAGGGAUGAUAAUAAAAACAUUGGAUUGAGCAGAAACCAAUCAAAUAACUAG
Molecule: long non-coding RNA, 272 nt
Filed under: Homo sapiens (human)
Lineage: Eukaryota; Metazoa; Chordata; Mammalia; Primates; Hominidae
Description: HSALNT0260657
Source: RNAcentral